UACGUAGGGUGCAAGCGUUGUCCGGAAUUACUGGGCGUAAAGAGCUCGUAGGCGGUUUGUCGCGUCUGCUGUGAAAACUCAGGGCUUAACCCUGAGCUUGCAGUGGGUACGGGCAGACUAGAGUGCGGUAGGGGAGAUUGGAAUUCCUGGUGUAGCGGUGGAAUGCGCAGAUAUCAGGAGGAACACCGGUGGCGAAGGCGGCGUUCUGGACUGUUACUGACACUGAGGAACGAAAGCCAGGGGAGCAAACGGG
Molecule: ribosomal RNA, 253 nt
Filed under: uncultured bacterium
Lineage: Bacteria
Description: partial 16S ribosomal RNA
Rfam family: Bacterial small subunit ribosomal RNA
Source: RNAcentral